Molecule: long non-coding RNA, 2919 nt
Organism: Rhea pennata
Lineage: Eukaryota; Metazoa; Chordata; Aves; Rheiformes; Rheidae
Exons: 7
Source: RefSeq, a predicted model, not a curated record
GAGGCCGCCUGCGGUGGAGGGUGUGGGGGCGGCCGUGAGGCGAGCGCGUCCUGUCGGGCUGCCGCCUGCCCGCUGAGGCCGUCGCCGCGUGGAGGCGGCGGGGCGGGGCUCGGCCCCGCCGGGCAGGGUCUGCGCGGCGCCGCGUGUGCCGCAGCGCGGGUCUGCCUUUGCCUUCGACGUGUGGCGCCUUUAGGGCCCCGGCGCGGGCCGGAGCGUGCGCUCGCCCCUGCGGACGCAGCCCGGAGGAGCGGGGCCGCGGGCGGGCCCCGGAGCGGGGUUGCGGCGCGGCGUCGGCGGGAGGUCGGCUCCUGUUGCGGCAGGCGUGGCCCGGAGCGCCGGUGAGUCACGGGAAGCUUGAACCGUCUGGAGCAAGCCGGCUGAAGGAGAUCGCGAGUCAGGGUAGUCCCCCGAGAGGGGACAUCUCGAAGAGAAGCGGCUGGACCUAGCGAUCCAGCUGUUCGCGUUGGUCGUCACCCGUGAGGCAAGGAGCUGAGCGUAAGAGGACUCUGGGAGCUGAAUCGAAAAGAGCUGGAACCAACGCUAGCAAAUGCUGACAGAGAGGAAAGCUGGACAAGCAGUCUUUUUGUGAUUAGUACCUAAGGGACGAAGGGAGUGCAACGAGGAAGCAAAAACGCAGCGGACCCCUGACAUCCCCAGCGACUGCUGCAGAAGGAGGUGUUCCGCCACGGGCGAGAAAGGUGACCGCUGACGAAUUGCCGCGGCUGAAGUUGAAGAGACCAGAAAAGCGUAAGCAAGCUGAAGUGAGAAAAACCACGUGGAACCAGCCGAGAGCCGUCUCCGUCUCCCGCCCCCCGCCCGGAAGGAAAGCCCGUCCUUCCUGACUAGGAAGGCUCACCGUUAAUAGCGAUCGGAACGAUAGAUCGCCGACGUAUAACGGAAGGCGCGCCCGCCUUACAACAAGCACGCUACGGUGAUGGAUUUUACUAUGCCUCCAUCGACGAGUGCUGGCAGACAAAGUUAUAACGUCCCAAGGCAGACUCUUAGGCAAGACGGAGGAGUUCAGCUGGACAGCCUGCUAGAAGAGUCUCGCCCAAGAGGGGUUGCUAGCCCCCUCUUGAGCUCUAGGCGCUGAUGCAUCUGCAUCGUCCCGUCAGGCACACAGACGUUUUCUUUGCUCGCAGACGUUUCAGCACGUCUUUACGCCUUACAGCGGUAGCGUUUAUAAACUGCGUUAAUCCUAGGCGUUCGUAACGUCGGGGAACGACUGCACGCUGCCGUGAAGAAUUACAGGCUACCGCCCUCGGACCUCUGCAAGUUAUCGCGUGUCAGGAGCAGCCAGGAGGAUCCAGGUGCCAGCGGAAAGGUUCUCCUGCCGGUCCCGACAAGGAGCCUUCGGCCGUAGGAAGGCUGGCCGCGUCCUUACCUAUAUUCCACACGUACGGAGAGCACAAUGUAAUGUCUGGCCGUCGAAAGAGCGUUGUCGUCGCUGGGAGCUCUCCGCAGAGAUCUGCGUCUGGCCGCCGAAGAUGAGCGGAAGGCGAGCCCAGGCUUGCGACGUGGAUGCAGCUGAGUCCUGGGGCUGCGUUGCGUAGCUGAAUCCUAUCCCCGAAGGAAAAAGCAGAAGGGGCAGGCCGUCGGCUACGCAGACGCCUGCCGCCUCGGGGGCUGCGGCGGGAGCUGACCCUUCCCCGACGGACGGACGGUCGGACGGACGGACGGACGGACGGACGCUGGCGUGGCGAUGACUCUUCAGGUGUCACGGGGUAAGGGGAAGCGUGCCGGCACCGAGCUCCGUGGCAGGCUCGCUCCCGGGUGGCGUUCCUGCCCAGUAAAAGAAUAAAGAGCCGCUUUAUUCUUUGCGGUCGUGUCUGUGGUUCCGGACGCCCCCCUGCCUGAAGAUGACGCCCGGGGGAGGAGGUUACACGUUGUGCGCCCGGGGCCGGGAGCUGGUGGCCGAGCCCCUUGCGCUUUGGAGUGCCUGCGGUUCCCAGGGGACGCGGUGCUGUUCCCGGGGCUGUGGGGAGUUGCCCUGGCGUGGCCUGGACCCUCGGGACUCUUGGGGGUGGUUCCCAUCGUCGUGGGGGCAGCCGGGGCCCCCCCCCCUCCAGGGCCGUGUGAGGGCACCGGCCUGCUCCCUGGCCUGUCUGGGGCCGGGGCCCGCGUGCCUGGAGCUGGGAGAGCUGCGGGCGUCCGCGGGGCCGCGGAGAGCCUGCAGGCGCCGGUGCCGUCACAGAAUCACAGAACGGGUAAGGUUGGAAGGGACCUCUGGGGAUCGCCUAGUCCAACCUCCCUGCUCGAGCACGGUCACCUAGAGCGCGUUAGACGGGAUCGCACCCAGGCGGGUUUUGAAUAUCUCCGGAGAAGGAGACUCCGCCACCUCUCUGGGCAGCCCGUUCCAGUGCUCCGUCACUCUCACGGGAAAGAAAUCCUUCCUCGUAUUCGGGCGCGACUUCCUGUGGUUCGGCUUGUGCCCGUUGCCUCUAGUCCUUUCGCGUGGGACAACUGGAAAGAGUUUAGCCCCAUCCCCUUGCCACCCUGCCUUCAGAUACCGAUAGAUUUUGAUAAGAUCCCCCCUCAGUCUUCCCCAGGCUAAGAGCCUCUUGUCGAGGGUAAGUGAGCCGCGCUGAGCCCUGCGACGUGCCUUACGGCCCCUUUGGUGUGCCCCGAGGCCCUUUGUCCGUGUGUUGGUUUGCCCCGGAGCCCUGCGUUUGCCCUCUGAUGCCCUCAGGAGCCUUCAGUUCACAUUUUGGCUGGCCCCCACGGCCGCCGUGCGCCUCGGAGCCCUGCACUUGCUCUGCAGCGCGCGACGAAGUUCUCUGUUUUGUCGCAGAGCUUUCUGGGUGUGCCCCAGGGCCCUCCUUUUGCCUUUUGGUGCUCCCAGAAUCACCCUGUUUGCUCCAUCUUUGCGUUGUAAUAUACGUACGUACAUAUAUAAAAUGUAUCUACAUAUUUAAGACA